RNAcentral lists this ribosomal RNA (257 nucleotides) under uncultured archaeon. RNAcentral's name for it is "partial 16S ribosomal RNA". It matches the Rfam family "Bacterial small subunit ribosomal RNA", at positions 521 to 777 of the family's 1533-position model. The record is from RNAcentral.
UAAAACGUAGGACGCAAGCGUUAUCCGGAAUUACUGGGCGUAAAGCGCGCGCAGGCGGUUAUACAAGUCACUUGUGAAAGCUCAUGGCUAAACUGUGAGAGGUGAGGUGAGACUGUAUGACUAGAGAUUGCUAGAGGUAUGUGGAAUUCCGCGUGUAGUGGUGAAAUGCGUAGAGAUGCGGAGGAACACCAGUGGCGAAGGCGGCAUACUGGGGCAAUACUGACGCUGAGGCGCGAAAGCAUGGGUAGCGAACGGGA